RNAcentral lists this ribosomal RNA (389 nucleotides) under uncultured prokaryote. RNAcentral describes it as "partial 16S ribosomal RNA". The record is from RNAcentral.
CCCUAUGGGGCGCAGCGUAUACUGGCGUCUUCUGACGCUGAUAAGACCUUUCUUUAUAAGAGAUGCCACCAUUCUGGAGACGGUCUCUCUCGAACAGCCACAACUGUUGGCUAUCUCAAUCUGCGUUGGACCUUUCUCCAGGAUCACAUAGUCUUUGACCCGUAUCCCCGACCUGGAUCCUAUUUCCGAAAGAUACUUGAGAAUCCUGCCUUCGACGUUCAGGAAGGCAAGCCAUCGUAUCCGUUCAUCGGCCACCCGCAGCCGCUGCGAAAGAACCUUCAGGAUUUCGAUGGUUAUCGUGGGAUGGUCGAGGAGAACUUUCAUAAAGUCCUGCCUUUUUACCACAAGGAGUUCACUGCUUUCCAUAGCAACGGAAUUGGCGGGAGGGC